GCUUACGGUCAUACCACCCUGAGCACGCCCGAUCUCGUCUGAUCUCGGAAGCUAAGCAGGGUCAGGCCUGGUUAGUACUUGGAUGGGAGACUGCCUAGGAAUACCAGGUGCUGUAAGCU
Molecule: ribosomal RNA, 119 nt
Organism: Betta splendens (Siamese fighting fish)
Lineage: Eukaryota; Metazoa; Chordata; Actinopteri; Anabantiformes; Osphronemidae
Source: Ensembl